Molecule: ribosomal RNA, 468 nt
Filed under: uncultured bacterium
Lineage: Bacteria
Description: partial 16S ribosomal RNA
Rfam family: Bacterial small subunit ribosomal RNA
Source: RNAcentral
GACGAACGCUGGCGGCGUGCUUAACACAUGCAAGUCGAACGGAAAGGCCCUGCUUUUGUGGGGCGCUCGAGUGGCGAACGGGUGAGUAACACGUGAGUAACCUGCCCUUUACUUUGGGAUAACUUCAGGAAACUGGGGCUAAUACCGGAUAUGAGCUCCUGCUGCAUGGUGGGGGUUGGAAAGUUUCGGCGGUUGGGGAUGGACUCGCGGCUUAUCAGCUUGUUGGUGGGGUAGUGGCUUACCAAGGCUUUGACGGGUAGCCGGCCUGAGAGGGUGACCGGCCACAUUGGGACUGAGAUACGGCCCAGACUCCUACGGGAGGCAGCAGUGGGGAAUAUUGCACAAUGGGCGGAAGCCUGAUGCAGCAACGCCGCGUGCGGGAUGACGGCCUUCGGGUUGUAAACCGCUUUCGCCUGUGACGAAGCGUGAGUGACGGUAAUGGGUAAAGAAGCAUCGGCUAACUACGUG